RNAcentral lists this ribosomal RNA (468 nucleotides) under uncultured bacterium. RNAcentral describes it as "partial 16S ribosomal RNA". It matches the Rfam family "Bacterial small subunit ribosomal RNA", at positions 28 to 507 of the family's 1533-position model. The record is from RNAcentral.
GACGAACGCUGGCGGCGUGCUUAACACAUGCAAGUCGAACGGAAAGGCCCUGCUUUUGUGGGGUGCUCGAGUGGCGAACGGGUGAGUAACACGUGAGUAACCUGCCCUUGACUUUGGGAUAACUUCAGGAAACUGGGGCUAAUGCCGGAUAGGAGCUCCUGCUGCAUGGUGGGGGUUGGAAAGUUUCGGCGGUUGGGGAUGGACUCGCGGCUUAUCAGCUUGUUGGUGGGGUAGUGGCUUACCAAGGCUUUGACGGGUAGCCGGCCUGAGAGGGUGACCGGCCACAUUGGGACUGAGAUACGGCCCAGACUCCUACGGGAGGCAGCAGUGGGGAAUAUUGCACAAUGGGCGGAAGCCUGAUGCAGCAACGCCGCGUGCGGGAUGACGGCCUUCGGGUUGUAAACCGCUUUCGCCUGUGACGAAGCGUGAGUGACGGUAAUGGGUAAAGAAGCACCGGAUAACUACGUG